RNAcentral lists this ribosomal RNA (788 nucleotides) under uncultured archaeon. RNAcentral's name for it is "bacterial SSU rRNA". It matches the Rfam family "Archaeal small subunit ribosomal RNA", at positions 85 to 879 of the family's 1478-position model. The record is from RNAcentral.
ACUGCUCAGUAACACGUAGCUAACCUACCCUUAAGUCAGGGAUACCCUCGGGAAACUGAGGCUAACACCUGAUAGAAGACAUGCCCUGGAAUGACUUGUCUUUCAAAUUCGAGCUUAAGGAUGGGGCUGCGGUGGAUUAGGUUGUUGGCGGGGUAAUAGCCCACCAAGCCGAUGAUCCAUAAGGGCUCUUAGCGGAGAGGCCCUGAGAGGGAAUCUGAGACACUAUUCCCAGCCCUACGGGGUGCAGCAGUUAGGAAUAUUCUGCAAUGCGCGCAAGCGUGACAGAUUGAACCAGAGUGUUUUUCAAAUGAAAAGCUUUUGCCAAGUGUAAAAAGCUUGGCGAAUAAGGACUGGGUAAGACGAGUGCCAGCCGCCGCGGUAAUACUCGCGGUCCAAGUCGCAGCCAUUUUUAUUGGGUCUAAAACAUCCGUAGCUUGCUUGAUAAGUUUCUUGUGAAAUUUUAUAUCUCAAAUAUAGAGCGUGCAAGAAGUACUGUCAAGCUAGAGACUGGAAGACGUAAGAAGUAUGUUUGGAGUAGCGGUAAAAUGUGUUAAUCCCAGACAGACUAACAACAGCGAAGGCAUCUUACGAGAACAGUUCUGACAGUAAGGGAUGAAAGCUAGGGGCGCAAAACGGAUUAGAUACCCGCGUAGUCCUAGCAGUAAACACUGCACACUAGACAUCGGGACCUCUUCGAGAGGUUUCGGUGCUGCAGGGAAGCCGAAGAGUGUGCUACCUGGGAAGUAUAGUCGCAAGGCCGAAACUUAAAGGAAUUGGCGGGGGAGCAC